UACGUAGGGGGCAAGCGUUGUCCGGAUUUAUUGGGCGUAAAGAGCGUGUAGGCGGCUUUACAGGUCCGUUGUGAAAACUCGAGGCUCAACCUCGAGACGCCGGUGGAAACCGUAAGGCUAGAGUCCGGAAGAGGAGAGUGGAAUUCCUGGUGUAGCGGUGAAAUGCGCAGAGAUCAGGAGGAACACCCGUGGCGAAAGCGGCUCUCUGGGACGGUACUGACGCUGAGACGCGAAAGCGUGGGGAGCGAACAGG
Molecule: ribosomal RNA, 253 nt
Filed under: uncultured bacterium
Lineage: Bacteria
Description: partial 16S ribosomal RNA
Rfam family: Bacterial small subunit ribosomal RNA
Source: RNAcentral